ACGGGAGGCAGCAGUGGGGAAUAUUGGGCAAUGGGCGAAAGCCUGACCCAGCAACGCCGCGUGAAGGGAGAAGGUCUUCGGAUUGUAAACUUCUUUUAUGAGGGACGAAGGACGUGCCGGUACCUCAUGAAUAAGCCACGGCUAACUACGUGCCAGCAGCCGCGGUAAUACGUAGGUGGCAAGCGUUAUCCGGAUUUACUGGGUGUAAAGGGCGCGUAGGCGGGGAUGCAAGUCAGAUGUGAAAUCCAUGGGCUUAACUCAUGAACUGCAUUUGAAACUGUAUCUCUUGAGUGCUGGAGAGGUAGAUGGAAUUCCUUGUGUAGCGGUGAAAUGCAUAGAUAUAAGGAAGAACACCAGUGGCGAAGGCGAUCUACUGGACAGUAACUGACGCUGAGGCGCGAAAGCGUGGGGAGCAAACAGGAUUAGAUACCCUGGUA
Molecule: ribosomal RNA, 437 nt
Filed under: uncultured Oscillospiraceae bacterium
Lineage: Bacteria; Bacillati; Bacillota; Clostridia; Eubacteriales; Oscillospiraceae
Description: partial 16S ribosomal RNA
Rfam family: Bacterial small subunit ribosomal RNA
Source: RNAcentral